This 310-nucleotide ribosomal RNA is filed under the name uncultured bacterium. RNAcentral's name for it is "bacterial SSU rRNA". It matches the Rfam family "Bacterial small subunit ribosomal RNA", at positions 209 to 507 of the family's 1533-position model. The record is from RNAcentral.
CCAACAGGUACACUAUGAGAUGGACCCGCGUUGUAUUAGCUAGUUGGUAGUGUAAUGGACUACCAAGGCGAUGAUACAUAGCCGACCUGAGAGGGUGAUCGGCCACAUUGGGACUGAGACACGGCCCAAACUCCUACGGGAGGCAGUAGUAGGGAAUCUUCGGCAAUGGACGAAAGUCUGACCGAGCAACGCCGCGUGAGUGAAGAAGGUUUUCGGAUCGUAAAACUCUGUUGUUAGAGAAGAAUGUUGAUUAGAGUGGAAAAUUAAUCAAGUGACGGUAUCUAACCAGAAAGGGACGGCUAACUACGUG